ACAUUCUCCUUUGUCUCCGCCGAGCACAGGACAUCUCCAUACUCUUAAACAUGAAGCUGUUUUCGAUGCUUGCUCUCGUGGCUGUGGUCCUGUCGUGCCUGGUGAGCCGGAGCAGUGCCAUGCCUGGGCCUGACCCUGUGGCUGACCCCGGAUAUCGUCGCUACGGUGGAUAUGGCUAUGGUGGAUACGGUGGCUACGGGGGAUACGGAGGGUAUGGAUAUGGAGGAUAUCGCGGUGGCUUCUACGGAUAGAGAUGCUUCUCUUAUCAGCAAUACCUACUGGCCUGAAGGAGAGUUGAAAAUAGCAUGAUACUGAAUUUCUUUUGAAAUAAACUGUUUACUUAUCAAUAAAACUGUGAGUAUCCUUA
Molecule: non-coding RNA, 367 nt
Organism: Penaeus vannamei (Pacific white shrimp)
Lineage: Eukaryota; Metazoa; Arthropoda; Malacostraca; Decapoda; Penaeidae
Source: RefSeq, a predicted model, not a curated record